CCUACGGGUGGCAGUAGUGAGGAAUAUUGGUCAAUGGGCGUAAGCCUGAACCAGUCAAGUCGCGUGAGGGAUGAAGGUUCUAUGGAUCGUAAACUUCUUUUAUAAGGGAAUAAAGUGUGGGACGUGUCCUAGUUUGUAUGUACCUGAUGAAUAAGGAUCGGCUAACUCCGUGCCAGCAGCCGCGGUAAUACGGAGGAUCCGAGCGUUAUCCGGAUUUAUUGGGUUUAAAGGGUGCGUAGGCGGCCUUUUAAGUCAGCGGUGAAAGUCUGUGGCUCAACCAUAGAAUUGCCGUUGAAACUGGGGGGCUUGAGUAUGUUUGAGGCAGGCGGAAUGCGUGGUGUAGCGGUGAAAUGCUUAGAUAUCACGCAGAACCCCGAUUGCGAAGGCAGCUUGCCAAGUCAUGACUGACGCUGAGGCACGAAAGCGUGGGGAUCAAACAGGAUUAGAUACCCGGGUAGUA
This 460-nucleotide ribosomal RNA is filed under the name uncultured bacterium. Its description in RNAcentral is "partial 16S ribosomal RNA". It matches the Rfam family "Bacterial small subunit ribosomal RNA", at positions 338 to 795 of the family's 1533-position model. The record is from RNAcentral.